This 100-nucleotide microRNA precursor is filed under the name Gorilla gorilla gorilla (western lowland gorilla). Its description in RNAcentral is "miRNA (ENSGGOG00000040503.1)". Lineage: Eukaryota; Metazoa; Chordata; Mammalia; Primates; Hominidae. The record is from RNAcentral.
UGAGGCAGGAGAAUUGCUUGAACCCAGGAGGUGGAGGCUGCAGUGAGCCGAGAUCGUGCCACUGCACUCCAGCCUGGGUGACAGAGUGAGACUCCGUCUC